CCACCCGACUCUUGUUGGUUCUCUUCACUUUGCCCAUACACCACCACAGGCCCACAGCUCCAUUCAAGUGUUCAUGGCUCUCCUUUUGUCCCCAUCAGUAUCCUCUCCAUGUGGUAUUUAGACCCAUUUCGUUAGCUCAUCCCUGAAUGCCUAAAUCUCUAUAGUUGCUUGUUCACCAGUUUCCCUAAUCUCAACACUCAUUUGGAGAGGAAGAGUAGUUUUAGUGAAUGCUAGAGUUCAGAAAGAUCGCAGCUGCAUUCGGAGUGGAAGAGUGUGAUUGGAUUAAAGGCUUCGAUGGAAGAGUGUUUAGGUCUCCUACUUUGUUUGAAGACAUGGUCAAGUGCAUUCUCCUUUGCAAUUGCUAGUAACCUUCCUCUUCUGAUGCCUUUAUGCUGUUUGACAUAUUGUCGCAAGGAGGAUAUUUUAAACUUGUUUUAUUGUAUAAUGUUUAUUUAUUUAUUUUGGGUUUCUCUUGUUUCAAUAUCCUAUCACUCUUGGCAGAUGGUCAAGGACUCUAAGCAUGGCCAGAGCUCUCUGUGAGCUUCAACUGGAACUGCAGUUUCAAUCAUGCAGUGUGAAUGCAAGUACCAAGAAUCAACAAACUGAUACAAACAAUUUCAGUCCUAAAACACCUGCUGGAAAAGAGUCCAAGAGGAAGCUCAGAGCUUCCAAAGUAUCCACAAAUUUAACAAAUAAGUUUCUGGGUACGGAUAUGGAUUUGGAAGCUGAUACUUGCUUGACAAUGGAUGAUGCGCAAAUGAAGAUAGCAAAUUUAAGACCAAACUUCUCUCUUCGUUGUAUAGAAGGUGAUUCCUCUGGCAAUUACAAAUCAUGUGAGGCAGCAAAUAAAGUUUUCGAAACCAGUUCCUUUGAAACUUCUGUUCUUCAAUCUCAUAAGAUGACACAGCAUUUUGCACACCAACCAAUUUGUAAUUUUCCAAGUCCAACGGAACUAGCAAUCCUUGAUGAUAGAUUUCUGGCAAAGCGCUGUGGUCUUGGCUAUAGAGCAGGUCGAAUAAUAAAACUUUCCCAGGAUAUUGUUGAAGGGAGGAUUCCAAUGGAGGAACUUGAAGAAGUUUGCAAUGGAGGGAGCAUAUCCAGCUAUAGUAAAUUGGCUGAUCAGCUCAGAGAAAUUGAUGGGUUUGGUCCAUUCACGCGUGCAAAUGUGCUUAUGUGCAUGGGAUUUUAUCAUGUUAUUCCUACUGAUUCUGAAACAGUGAGGCAUCUAAAACAGGUCCAUGCCAAAGAUUCUACAAUUCAAACAGUUCAAAGGGAUGUUGAAAAGAUAUACGGAAAAUAUGCACCCUUCCAAUUCUUAGCCUACGGGGCAGAAUUAUGGCACUUCUAUGAGCAAAGGUUUGGGAAGCUAAGUCAAAUGCCUUGCUCUGAUUAUAAACUUAUUACUGCCAGUAAUAUGAAAAAUGAAGGAAGUCGUAAAAUCAAGAGGAGUAGGGUAUCUUGACAGUGAUACGGAGUUAUCAUGACUUAAGUUAAACGAGAAGCUACCGUUGGACCUGUGGCAUAAAUUAUUUCUUCACGGAAGAUACACAUAGGAGGAUGCUUCUGGGAAGAAAAAUAAAGCCCAGCAACUCAGAAGGCAAAUUUUUAGAUCAUGAAUGCUGAACUGGUCUCCACAAUUCUAAUUCUGUAGAUUCUACCAUGCAGUUAGAGAUUUGUUCAUGGUCAAGUUUACGCAACUUUAUUCUUUUUCAUAAUUCAUUUAUAAGAUGAUACUUCUGAAAUUUGUGAGGAUGCAGAACCUAGUAAUUGCAACUUCUUUACCUUUGUCCUUGUUCCUUACAGCUUCUCACUUCCCUCUUUUGUUAAACAGUUAGGGAUAUAAGGUUGUGAAGUGAAUUAUCAUAAAAUAUGUCUUUGGCUAAAGUUGGACAACCACAAAAGGCAGCCUCUUCAUUUAAUCUAGAUGUGGCCCUAACUUUAGUAUGUUCUUAUUAAAUGGAAGCUAACGAGUGAAAUCCAAGCACCUGUUCUUUGCAGUCCAAGGACUUGGUUAUAGUUCUUCUACUUCUUCAGUUCUAAGCCUUUCUGAUACAGAUGUUCAAGGGAUAGCAAAAAAUGCAACCUGAGAACGAGUACUAAAUAUUUAGUUUCUAUAUCUUCAAGAAACAUAGCGGUUGUGAAAUUUGCUAUUUUCUUACAUUUGCAGGCUGUUUAUUAAGUAAGAAAAUGGCACAUUCAUUGUGAGACAGUCACAUUUGUAUCUUUCUUCUAUCUACAUGCAGAUUAGCAAUUUGAUCCUGUGUAUAGCUGAUCGGUAGAACUUACAGAUGUAUCAAUGUCAUUUUUGAGCUGAAUAAUUUGAGUGGAAUUGUGCCUGUGAGCUGAU
Molecule: unclassified non-coding RNA, 2347 nt
Filed under: Hevea brasiliensis (rubber tree)
Lineage: Eukaryota; Viridiplantae; Streptophyta; Magnoliopsida; Malpighiales; Euphorbiaceae
Source: RNAcentral